This 468-nucleotide ribosomal RNA is filed under the name uncultured bacterium. RNAcentral describes it as "partial 16S ribosomal RNA". It matches the Rfam family "Bacterial small subunit ribosomal RNA", at positions 28 to 507 of the family's 1533-position model. The record is from RNAcentral.
GACGAACGCUGGCGGCGUGCUUAACACAUGCAAGUCGAACGGAAAGGCCCUGCUUUUGUGGGGUGCUCGAGUGGCGAACGGGUGAGUAACACGUGAGUAACCUGCCCUUGACUUUGGGAUAACUUCAGGAAACUGGGGCUAAUACCGGAUAGGAGCUCCUGCUGCAUGGUGGGGGUUGGAAAGUUUCGGCGGUUGGGGAUGGACUCGCGGCUUAUCAGCUUGUUGGUGGGGUAGUGGCUUACCAAGGCUUUGACGGGUAGCCGGCCUGAGAGGGUGACCGGCCACAUUGGGACUGAGAUACGGCACAGACUCCUACGGGAGGCAGCAGUGGGGAAUAUUGCACAAUGGGCGGAAGCCUGAUGCAGCCACGCCGCGUGCGGGAUGACGGCCUUCGGGUUGUAAACCGCUUUCGCCUGUGACGAAGCGUGAGUGACGGUAACGGGUAAAGAAGCACCGGCUAACUCCGUG